GAGUUUGAUCCUGGCUCAGAUUGAACGCUGGCGGCAUACCUUACACAUGCAAGUCGAACGGCAGCACGGGAGCUUGCUCCUGGUGGCGAGUGGCGAACGGGUGAGUAAUGCAUCGGAACGUAUCCUGGAGUGGGAGAUAACGUAGCGAAAGUUACGCUAAUACCGCAUAUUCUGUGAGCAGGAAAGCGGGGGACCUUCGGGCCUCGCGCUCUUGGAGCGGCCGAUGUCGGAUUAGCUAGUUGGUGAGGUAAAGGCUCACCAAGGCGACGAUCCGUAGCAGGUCUGAGAGGAUGAUCUGCCACACUGGAACUGAGACACGGUCCAGACUCCUACGGGAGGCAGCAGUGGGGAAUUUUGGACAAUGGGGGCAACCCUGAUCCAGCCAUGCCGCGUGAGUGAAGAAGGCCU
This 408-nucleotide ribosomal RNA is filed under the name bacterium enrichment culture clone ALO1_GLFRUDD03FW8P2. RNAcentral's name for it is "bacterial SSU rRNA". It matches the Rfam family "Bacterial small subunit ribosomal RNA", at positions 9 to 417 of the family's 1533-position model. The record is from RNAcentral.